UAGAAGAAAGCAGACACGAUUUAUUUCUUCUUCGUCUACAAUGUGUAGAAGACAAGCAUCUAUGCCGUACGGAUGCUCUCUACCUCGGAAUUAUGCUAUUAUGCUACUAGCCUGCAAAUUUUUGGGACGAGCGGAGCUUUGUCCACAACCAAUCCAGCUCGAUUUUGAAGCCUCUGGUUGCUCUCUAUCUCGAAAUUAUGCUACUGUUGAUGCAAGUAAACGCAGACCUCCGCUUCUCAACUCGGCUGGGAUGUAGCUCCUCUACUCAGCAAACUCUUAAGCAAUUACUUCUGGGUUUAUGUUGCUACACCUGCAAUUUUCGGAGGCAAUUAUUCUUUAAUUGCCGUGGGCUCCAAAGCAGCUACGGUAAGCUUCAAUGGAAUAGGGAUUUUCGGGAAAUUUAGGGGAAACUGGGCUGCGAUUUGCUUCUCUACUUUUCCUUGUUGAUUUAGCUCUACUGGGCGUGUCUUCUCAAGUCCUUCAAUUGUGCUCUCUAUCUCGAAUUUAUGCUACCCUAAUGAUACAUCUCUCUUUGGGCAUCGAUUACCAAGCUUUGUUAUACAAUUUUCAGAGCCUGCAAAUUUUGGCGACUAGGACAGCUUUGGCUAUGGGAUUCCAGCUCGAAUUUGUGGCUGUGGAUGCUCUCUAAAGACCUCUACUCUUUCUUGACUUAACCAGAAACACAAAUGUAAAUCUCAUGAUCGUAUAACAUGAGAGUAAUUUAUUUUGGAUGCAAUUCUCUACUCCUUAGCUCAGGCGGUUGAAAGAAAAUGAUGAAGCAGCCUUUUUAAACAAUAACUCCAUCAACUCAGAGUACGUCCUUGCAAAUAAAAUGAUGAAGCAGCAAUUUCACACAAUAAUUACCCUACUGAUGCAUCUCUCUUUGGGCAUCGGUUACACACCUUGUUACACAAUUUUCAGAGCCUGCAAAUUAUGGCGACUAGCGGAGCUUUGGCUAUGGGAUUCCAGCUCAAAUUAUGGCGACUAGCGGAGCUUUGGCUUUGAAGCCUCUGGUUGCUCUCUACGUGAAUCUAUGGCACAAGGAUGCUCUCUAUCUCGAAAUCUAUAAUCCAACAUGUUGUGUGUCGAGAGAUGAAUAAAAAUUAAAUCAUAGUGUCGCUGCUCUCCCCUAAGCUUACUCUGAUUUUUUUGACAAAUAAAAUGAGUGACAAAUAGAAAACCUGAUAACUUAGACUACAACAUUUUCAUU
Molecule: non-coding RNA, 1210 nt
Organism: Camelina sativa (false flax)
Lineage: Eukaryota; Viridiplantae; Streptophyta; Magnoliopsida; Brassicales; Brassicaceae
Source: RefSeq, a predicted model, not a curated record